Molecule: ribosomal RNA, 497 nt
Filed under: uncultured bacterium
Lineage: Bacteria
Description: partial 16S ribosomal RNA
Rfam family: Bacterial small subunit ribosomal RNA
Source: RNAcentral
GAUGAACGCUGGCGGCGUGCCUAAUACAUGCAAGUCGAGCGAACAGACGAGGAGCUUGCUCCUCUGACGUUAGCGGCGGACGGGUGAGUAACACGUGGAUAACCUACCUAUAAGACUGGGAUAACUUCGGGAAACCGGAGCUAAUACCGGAUAAUAUAUUGAACCGCAUGGUUCAAUAGUGAAAGACGGUUUUGCUGUCACUUAUAGAUGGAUCCGCGCCGCAUUAGCUAGUUGGUAAGGUAACGGCUUACCAAGGCGACGAUGCGUAGCCGACCUGGUAGGGUGAUCGGCCACACUGGAACUGAGACACGGUCCAGACUCCUACGGGAGGCAGCAGUAGGGAAUCUUCCGCAAUGGGCGAAAGCCUGACGGAGCAACGCCGCGUGAGUGAUGAAGGUCUUCGGAUCGUAAAACUCUGUUAUUAGGGAAGAACAAAUGUGUAAGUAACUAUGCACGUCUUGACGGUACCUAAUCAGAAAGCCACGGCUAACUACGUG